RNAcentral lists this ribosomal RNA (1002 nucleotides) under Mycolicibacterium sp. RNAcentral describes it as "bacterial SSU rRNA". It matches the Rfam family "Bacterial small subunit ribosomal RNA", at positions 91 to 1107 of the family's 1533-position model. Lineage: Bacteria; Bacillati; Actinomycetota; Actinomycetes; Mycobacteriales; Mycobacteriaceae. The record is from RNAcentral.
UCGAGUGGCGAACGGGUGAGUAACACGUGGGUGAUCUGCCCUGCACUUUGGGAUAAGCCUGGGAAACUGGGUCUAAUACCGAAUAUGACCGCGCACUUCCUGGUGUGUGGUGGAAAGCUUUUGCGGUGUGGGAUGGGCCCGCGGCCUAUCAGCUUGUUGGUGGGGUAAUGGCCUACCAAGGCGACGACGGGUAGCCGGCCUGAGAGGGUGACCGGCCACACUGGGACUGAGAUACGGCCCAGACUCCUACGGGAGGCAGCAGUGGGGAAUAUUGCACAAUGGGCGCAAGCCUGAUGCAGCGACGCCGCGUGAGGGAUGACGGCCUUCGGGUUGUAAACCUCUUUCAAUAGGGACGAAGCGCAAGUGACGGUACCUAUAGAAGAAGGACCGGCCAACUACGUGCCAGCAGCCGCGGUAAUACGUAGGGUCCGAGCGUUGUCCGGAAUUACUGGGCGUAAAGAGCUCGUAGGUGGUUUGUCGCGUUGUUCGUGAAAACUCACAGCUUAACUGUGGGCGUGCGGGCGAUACGGGCAGACUAGAGUACUGCAGGGGAGACUGGAAUUCCUGGUGUAGCGGUGGAAUGCGCAGAUAUCAGGAGGAACACCGGUGGCGAAGGCGGGUCUCUGGGCAGUAACUGACGCUGAGGAGCGAAAGCGUGGGGAGCGAACAGGAUUAGAUACCCUGGUAGUCCACGCCGUAAACGGUGGGUACUAGGUGUGGGUUUCCUUCCUUGGGAUCCGUGCCGUAGCUAACGCAUUAAGUACCCCGCCUGGGGAGUACGGCCGCAAGGCUAAAACUCAAAGAAAUUGACGGGGGCCCGCACAAGCGGCGGAGCAUGUGGAUUAAUUCGAUGCAACGCGAAGAACCUUACCUGGGUUUGACAUGCACAGGACGCCAGUAGAGAUAUUGGUUCCCUUGUGGCCUGUGUGCAGGUGGUGCAUGGCUGUCGUCAGCUCGUGUCGUGAGAUGUUGGGUUAAGUCCCGCAACGAGCGCAACCCUUG